UUUGAUCCUGGCUCAGGACGAACGCUGGCGGCGUGCUUAACACAUGCAAGUCGAACGAUGAUGCCCAGCUUGCUGGGCGGAUUAGUGGCGAACGGGUGAGUAAUACGUGAGUAACCUGCCCUUGACUCUGGGAUAAGCCUGGGAAACUGGGUCUAAUACUGGAUACUACGCUCCAUCGCAUGGUGGGGGGUGGAAAGGGUUUUACUGGUUUUGGAUGGGCUCACGGCCUAUCAGCUUGUUGGUGGGGUAAUGGCUCACCAAGGCGACGACGGGUAGCCGGCCUGAGAGGGUGACCGGCCACACUGGGACUGAGACACGGCCCAGACUCCUACGGGAGGCAGCAGUGGGGAAUAUUGCACAAUGGGCGGAAGCCUGAUGCAGCGACGCCGCGUGAGGGAUGACGGCCUUCGGGUUGUAAAC
RNAcentral lists this ribosomal RNA (420 nucleotides) under Kocuria sp. RNAcentral's name for it is "bacterial SSU rRNA". It matches the Rfam family "Bacterial small subunit ribosomal RNA", at positions 12 to 430 of the family's 1533-position model. Lineage: Bacteria; Bacillati; Actinomycetota; Actinomycetes; Micrococcales; Micrococcaceae. The record is from RNAcentral.